GCAAUCAAAAUUAUUGAAAUAUCAAUUUA
Molecule: small RNA, 29 nt
Filed under: Bombyx mori (domestic silkworm)
Lineage: Eukaryota; Metazoa; Arthropoda; Insecta; Lepidoptera; Bombycidae
Description: ovarian small RNA-16271
Source: RNAcentral